UUGUCAUCAACGAAUAUACAAAGCUUUCUUCACUUAUGCUUACGAUUCCAAGGGGUGCUUCUUUAUAUCCAUUGGUCCCUUCCAUUAUAGAAUUGAAGCAUGACAGGAGACCUCAAAUGGAUAUUGUUGAUGUGGUUGGGAGAAUAAUAGAAGGCAAACGUGAUCGAUGUUGUUUUGAACUUUCUCUUCAAGAUAAGACUGGUCACACAAUACAAUUGUUUUUGUCUGCCUUGAAG
Molecule: long non-coding RNA, 236 nt
Organism: Helianthus annuus (common sunflower)
Lineage: Eukaryota; Viridiplantae; Streptophyta; Magnoliopsida; Asterales; Asteraceae
Exons: 3
Source: RefSeq, a predicted model, not a curated record